This 419-nucleotide ribosomal RNA is filed under the name uncultured bacterium. RNAcentral's name for it is "bacterial SSU rRNA". It matches the Rfam family "Bacterial small subunit ribosomal RNA", at positions 354 to 787 of the family's 1533-position model. The record is from RNAcentral.
UGGGGGAGUAUUGCACAAUGGGGAAAGACCCUGAUGCAGCAACGCCGCGUGAGGGAAGAAGGUUUUCGAUUGUAAACCUCUGUCCUAGGUGAAGAAAGAAAUGACGGUAGCCUGGGAGGAAGCUCCGGCUAACUACGUGCCAGCAGCCGCGGUAAUACGUAGGGAGCGAGCGUUGUCCGGAAUUACUGGGUGUAAAGGGUGCGUAGGCGGCCGUAUGGGUCAGGCGUGAAAUACAUGGGCUUAACUCAUGGACUGCGCUUGAAACUGUAUGGCUUGAGUGAAGUAGAGGCAGGCGGAAUUCCCGGUGUAGCGGUGAAAUGCGUAGAGAUCGGGAGGAACACCAGUGGCGAAGGCGGCCUGCUGGGCUUUAACUGACGCUGAGGCACGAAAGCAUGGGUAGCAAACAGGAUUAGAUACCC